CAAACAGGGGGUCUUAGGUGGAACCUGGGCAUGGGUGAGGUGCUACGGAUAUAAAUUAGGUGGUUUGGCAUAAGAUUCUGGAUUUUAGCUUCCUCUUAAAAACAAACAAACAAAACCAAACUCUUAGUCCUGGGCUGGAAGCCCUGUAUUACUUACUUUGCUGGACCUUGAGUCUCAGGUCCUUUCAAGAAGGCAGUGAAUUUACCCCUUGCCUUCCAGUCCUCAUCAUUCAUUUCCUUAACCUUGACUGUUGGUAUUUGAAUGAUUUGUGUCCUUGGGUCUCUCUCUGUCUCUCUCUCUCAAUUUGCACCCCUCCCCCCAGCCUUCUCAUACGAACUCAUCUUUGGCUGAAGGCACUGUCAUCUGGUGCAGAAAGUAAGGUCUUUUGAGUAGGAGAACCUUAUUUAAAUCCCGGCUCUGUGUUCACUAAACUGAGUUCCUUCAGAUGAAGGCCUUUGCAUUUCUCAUCACUCUUUCCACAGCUGAGACUCACCUGAUCCCACAUUGCAGGCUGGCGGGAGCCCCGCACAAUCCUUGGCACAAGGCGAAUGCUUAAUAAAUAUUAGUUUCCCAUGCUCUCAUUCUGCUCUCAGUGGAGGCAGUGAAGGAUGUUGGCGUUAGCCAGUGUCACAGGCUCGUUACCCUGCAAGGCCCCUGGGGAGUUUGUCUUGUUUCUUUCUCUGCCUCCAGCUUAAUUCUCCCACGCAGGUGAAAUUCAGAGAGGUAAACCUACGGGCUCAAGGUUACUCAGUAAAUAACAAAUAAACCCAGGUGUCCUGGGCUUUCAGCCGAGAGCUCAUUUCACUCGGGACAGCCUGCCAGACCCACACAGAUUCUUUCCAGCAGAACUGAAGACGUGGGGAGCGUGGGAUUUCUGUUGCUUGGGGCUUGACAAAACGGUUGCAGACAAUGAGUGGUUUGAAAGUCUGAAAAGAAGCAUCAGGGAGUGAUCUGAAUUAAUCACACAAUUGUUGCAAGAUGUAGCCAGGGUGUUAAUAAGCUCUGCUCUGCCUUUCACUCUUUAGUGAUGCAGUUCACACAGACUUCCCUUUAAUAUGCCUCUGCUUCCUUUUUGGGGGUGACUAUGCAAUAAAGGCGUGCCAUCUAGGUCAGCAACUUAAUCAUCGCUGGCUGAGUCUUAAAGGGAAGUAAAAUAAUCUCAAAUAGCUGAGCCAGGCUCUUCUUCCCACCACCAGGAUCCCUUAUGGACCAUGUGGCCAUCAGACAUGUGUCUUCACUUGCAAAUGGCUUCAGGGAUAUGGUUGUGUGGAGGCUGGGUAGGUUCUUGGGAAGUGAUGCCAUCUUGCCAUAAGGUGAUUAAAGGUCUUGAGGUCUGGGAGUUAAAAGACCAAGAUUCCAGCCCACCCCUGCUACCAAGGAUCUGUGUGACCCUGGACAAGUCACUUCCCAUCUGUAGCUCUUAGUUUUCUUGUUUGGCAAAGGGAUGGAGCUGGCGAAGACAGACUCUGAGGCUCCUUACAGCUCUAGCAGCCUUAGAUGACUCUUCAGGCAGAGCUUAACUCCUCAGAAGGUUGUAGAGAGACCUGGGAAAGGACCCGGAGCAGGUUGCGGAAGGGCAGUAGGAAGGUUAUGAUGCUAGGAUGGAUCAGAGAGAGAGAGGCAGGGGUCAAGGAAUCAGAUUCCAUGACUUGUUAUCUGUAACCCUUGGGGAUCCCAGUGAGCUUGAAGAAUGCCAGGCUGCUGAGUCGUUUGGGCUGAACACAGGGCAGUGGUCAGGAGACGGGGCAGUGGAGGUGGGCGAUGAAGUGGUGAGGCAGGAAGCAGGAGGCUUUGCAGUUCCAUCUUUAGGGUUGUAGUCUGAGCUGGGCAUCCUCUGGAAGCAGGGGACUUAUCUACCUCAGAAAUACAGAUGUGGGAAGAUUGAGUCAGGGAUGAGAUUUUAACAAGACUCACUUGUGCUGCUUGGUUGGGGUCCGACCAGAGCCAGGCGUGAGUAGAAAAGAAAUGGUGUUGGAUUUCUCUCUUGUAAUUGAUAUUUCUGACAAAGCAUGUUGUCUCUCUGAAUCUCUGGGGUUGAUGUCCUUCCUGGGGCUGACCUGAUUCUAUUCCCGGAGUAUAUCCCAGGAUUUGAAUAGAGAGGCUUUAGCCGGAGCCAGAAACAACGCAUGGAUAUUGAUGGUUUUUGCAAUGCGACCUUGAACUUGGCUCAAGACCUCCACAAAAUGGAACUCAGCAUUUCUCCUGUGGCCUGUAGAGCUGCAGAGCUCCUGGAGCGGCCCAAUAGCUUGAGAAUUAGAAAAGCCCUGUGGAGAGGCAGAGGCAGCUUCGAACUGGAUUGGAUGGGCAGUGGUUCUGCUAAGGAUCCAAGCCACCCAUGCCCUGCCUUGCUUUUCUUGAAGACGUGAUUCACGUUGCACCCCUGCAGAUGCUUCUUCUAGCACCUGCUCAUUCCUUUGUCCACCUCCGUCACCAUCGUGACUUAAUUCUCUCUUCCUGCCUUCCUCUGCCCAUCCUCUCUGCUGCUCUGUGGCCUUCAUCACCUCCCCUCCACCCCUCGCCCGAGACGCUCUAGCUCAUGUGAUCUCAUUUGCGCUGACCUGCUGUGGCUGUUACAGUCUGAACCCUCCAGGCUAGCUUUUAGUUCCGUCUUGUUCUGUACUGGUCUCUAAGGGUCUCACAUGUGUUCUUUGCUUCUUCACAAUCUCUCCAGAUCGUAGGAUCUUGGGGCCAGGCACCACAUUGUCUUGACUCAUGCCCUGGCCCCAGCUUGCAUGCCUCAGAGUAUCUGUUAGUUCCUGCUCCCAGAUUUGGUACUAGACGUUCCUCGACCUCCACUCACUUCCCCCAGCUCCCGCUUUGCUCCCGUCUAUGACAAACUUCCCUUUUCAGCUGGGGCUCUGCCGCUGCCCUAGCAUGCCUGCUGCAAAUCAGCUUGAAGUAAGCUGUCUGGAAGUGCCCUGAUGAGUCAGUUGGGCCCCUCCUUGGAGACAAGGAAUUCUGAAGUCUUGCAGGCACAUGCCUGCCCAUCUGUGCAACGAUUCCACAGCCUACCCCUCUUGCCUCUGGGAAUGCAGCUCUCUUUCACCUUGCUCCGGGAAGCUUCUUCCCUCCUCUGCUGGCUGCCCUGACUUGUCAGGUGGAGCUGGCAGGGCAGCUCUGAAGAGCCAGCCUCUGGUGGGCAGAGGCAGAGCAUUGUGGGAUUCUGGUGGGUUUACCUGGGUAAACCUAAGAGAAAGAGGAGAAACCGCUGAGUCAUGGCUUUUGUAAAGCCUUCUCUCCAAGAGAGUGAAGAGUCGGGUGGGGAAGAAGAGGCCAAGGCUCUGGUGUGGCUUGGCCACCGAUUAGCUGUGUCACUUCAUGUGACUCAGUUAUCCUCUCUCACGCUCACUUGACUUCCUCUUCUGUAAAGCAAGCUUGUUGGAUUGGAGCAGUAGCUUUCAGAUUUAGAAGACAAAGGAACCCUUUUAUCAAAUGAAAUCUUACGAAGAAUUUUAAUUUCUAUAACAGAGAAGCAAGGCCAUCCUGGUUGAAGCUGGGGUACAGAGAGGGUCUUGGUUUCCUCCUGAUCUUUCCAGAACCUUAUUAGCACUUCCCAGGAGCCUGGUUUGAAGAGCACUGAGAGAGAGAGGUUCCCUUUGGCCAUCCCAGCUCUGACCGUUGCAGUGUGGUCCUUGAGGCAGCAGAAGCACCCGGGAGCUGGUUAGGAAGGCAGCAUUUCGGGUUCCUCCCUUGAAGCCUACUGAAGCAGAAUCUGCACCCCCAGAUUCACAGACCCCCAGGUUUGAGAAGCACAGGUCUGUUCAGUUCUGUGACCCCAAGAGCUAGGUGACAAAGGGACCCAGGGGACUGAACGUCUUUCCUGGUAUUAUCUGGCCUGGUCACCUGGGGUUGGGGGUGUGGGCCACAUCCCCUUCUUGUGACUUCCUGUGCUUGGGUGCGUUGAUUGCCACCUGGAUGGGGAACCAGCUGUGGGGACAGCGAGGCUUGUCCUCGGGCUUGGCGGAGGAGGGCCCAGAGGGGGCGCCUCUUGGCUCUGCAGAAUGUAUUUCCUGUAGGAAAUGGCUGGAGAAACAGCCCUUCAAAGGGGGAUUUGUGUUGCCAGGAAGGACGUGCUCCCUGCAGACGCCUUACGAGCAGGACUUUACUAGGCAUUUUGCUUUCUUUUCUCCUUCCUUCCUUUCUCUUUCUCUCUUUCUUUCUCUCCCUCUCUCCCUCUCCUCUCUAUCUUUCUUCUUUUUUUCUCUAACCUGUUUCCCUUUCUCUCUGUCUCUUUUUCUUUUUAGGGCCACACUCGUGGCACAUGGAAGUUCCCAGGCUAGGGGUUGAAUCAGAGCUGCAGCUGCUGGCCCACACCACAGCCACAGUGAGGUGGGAUCCAAGCCACCUCUGUGACCUACACCACAGCUCUCGGCAAUGCCAGAUCCUUAACUCACUGAGUCACGUCGGGAGCUCCUCUAACAGGUGUCUCUAGCUGCAUCAUGCUGGACUCCUGAUCUCUGCGGCAUCGGGGCUGGAAUGCUGGGCUUGGACUUAGAGGACCUCUUGGUCCCAGCUGUGGCCCUUCCCCAGAGCCAUUGCCCUGGUUUCUCUUCCCCUCCGGGCCUGUCACUGUCACAGUCCGGUGACCUAGCCGAGUGGUGAGGGUGAACCAAAACAUGCCAGAGUUCUUCUUGCCACCUGUCAGGAGCUAAAAGCUAAGGAAUAUUUUUAUAUCAAUUCUGACCCGUAAAAAUACCUGGCGUUUGGCUUCAGCUGACGCAGAGGCCACCGACACCCCUGUGAGGUUUACUGCUGGCUUCUCGUGUCAGACUAAGCUUUUCCUUGAAGGCCAGGCUUCUUCAAAGUUAGAUAGCCUUGGUGGUGGUUCUUAAAAACACCUUUAUCAGGACUGAUUAAUCAAUUUUUGAUUUUCCUUUAAAUUGUGGGAUAUUAAAAAGGAAGGUAAAUCUGAAACUCUUCUAAAGUGAAAAAAUAAAAGGUUUAUUUAAAAAUCCAAAAAUAAAAGGGAAAAGGAAGAGAAGAAAAACCUGUCCUUAGAAAAGGUUCCAGGGAGCCCCUUUCUGGGUGUGAUUUUUUAAUUUGGUCCCUUGGGAUGUGAUGUGUGCCUUCAGUCAACCUUGAAAAAUGAACCUUCUUAUUUUUUCUGUCGUCAUUUUUUAUUUAUUUAUUUAUUUUUUGUCUUUUUUUUUUUUGCCUUUUUGUAGGGCCAGUCCCGUGACACAUGGAGGUUCCCAGACUGGGGGUCUAAUUGGAGCUGUAGCUACUGGCCUGCACCAGGGCCACAGCAGCGCAGGAUCCAAGCUGCGUCUGUGACCUACACCACAGCUCACUGUGAUGCCAGAUCCUUAACCCACUGAGCAAGGGCAGGGACCGAACCCACAACCUCAUGGUUCCUAGUCGGCUUCGUGAACCACUGCGCCACGGCGGGAACUCCUCUUUCGUCGGUUUUAGUGUCACUUCUGCAAAACACUUUUCUUGGUGACCUGAAAGCGUGUUUGUGCUGUUGAGGCUGUUACAGGAUAUUCGUGUGUAGCUGGUGCUUUUUAUGUUGACAGAAGAGUUCAAGAGUCAUUUAAUAAGACCUCAGGAUGUUCUCAUUUCUCAGUUCCUCUCUUCUUUUGAAAGCCCGAAAUCUUCCGUAGCCAAGAAUAAACAGAUUUUAGCCCCAAAGGGGUGGGCUUGGUUUGACGUCGAAGCAUCUGGACCUGAGGGAGAUUCAUCACUUGGCAGGCGGCCCCAUCCCGCCCUGGCUUUGGUUGGGUACCAUGGCACCCGCCCUCUCCCUGCUCUGUGCUCAGCCCAGCCCCUGCCAUGUCAUCCCACAUCCCUGCUAAAGGCCUUCUUUCCAAGGGCACCCACAGAGGUUCUGUGCCUUAAACCAUGCUCCCCUGGGGUCCUCUCUGCUAGGCUUGCGGAGAAGCUCUUUGCUUCUUGGGGUGCUGCCUCAUGAGGGUGGAGGCGUUCCUGUCGUGGCACAGCAGAAACGACUCUGACAAGGAUCCAUGAGGAUGUGGGUUCGAUCCCUGGCCUUGCUCAGUAGGUCAGCAAUUCGGUGUUGCCAUGAGCUGUGGUGUAGGUCACAGAUGCAGCUCAGAUCCCAUGUGGCUGUGGCUAUAGGCCAGCAGCUGUAGCUCUGAUUCAACCCCUAGCCUGGGAACCUCCAUAUGCUGCGGGUGUGGCCCU
Molecule: long non-coding RNA, 6144 nt
Filed under: Sus scrofa (pig)
Lineage: Eukaryota; Metazoa; Chordata; Mammalia; Artiodactyla; Suidae
Description: lncRNA (ENSSSCG00050065743.1)
Source: RNAcentral